AGAUGAUGAAACCAAAAUCAACAGCUGGAAUUACCGUCAGAUUGUAUAGUGUUGAAGAAUGGUUUUCUGAUC
Molecule: small nucleolar RNA, 72 nt
Organism: Leucoraja erinaceus (little skate)
Lineage: Eukaryota; Metazoa; Chordata; Chondrichthyes; Rajiformes; Rajidae
Source: RefSeq, a predicted model, not a curated record